Homo sapiens (human) is the source of this 1917-nucleotide long non-coding RNA. RefSeq annotates it as long independently transcribed non-coding RNA 1898. The record is from RefSeq and is marked validated. NCBI's taxonomy places the organism in Eukaryota, Metazoa, Chordata, Mammalia, Primates, Hominidae. The transcript has 2 exons.
AUUUUGGAUCUGAGAGUCAGCCAUGCAGCUGCCAUUUUGGAUCUGAGAGAGUUGGCCAUGCAGCAGCGUUUCGGAUCCGAGAGCUGGCCAUGCAGCAGCCAUUAAGGAUCCAAGAGUCGGUCAUGUAGCAGCCAUUUCGGAUCUGAGAGAGUCGGCCAUGCAGCAGCCGUUUGGGAUCUGAGAGUCGGCCAUGCAGCAGCCGUUUGGGAUCUGAGAGAGUCGGCCAUGCAGCAGCCAUUUGUGCAUGCUUCCCUUCUCCCAGCCCCACAGGAGACUGACUCUGCAUCCUGCCUCCUUUCAAAUGCAUCCUGUGCCAACAGUUUCUGAAAACGGAUAAACAAAUUGACAACCUCAAAUGCAAAGAUGAAACAUUUCUCCAGAUCAUCAGGCACAUGGUUUACUCAGGCCCAGAGGAGUGAGCUGAUAUAAAGAAGCUGUGCCACACAGUCGGAUGGGGUCCGAAGGAAACAAUAGGGCUGAGUGAUGAGUAUUGAAGAAGAAAUCUAAAGAAAGAAUGUCUUAUCAGCUGACCGCAAAGCUGCCUCCUUCUACCUGGCCACAUUGCUUAUCUAUUGUACUGCGUCUCUCUUGGAUGGAAACGAUACACCAAUCACUCAUAAGUGAAUAAUUUCCUUCUAAAUCACAGGCCUACACCUGAGGUGGCUGCCACAGGUGUAACCUGUUUAGACCAGCAAUUAUAUUUACUCCAUGAUGACAGAAAACAGGAAAGAUGUAUCAUACAGUGCAUUUGCUCCUGCUAUUUAUAAAUAGACCUCUUUACAUUAGCACUACAUAUGACUGUCUCAUCCACUUAUCAGCAAUUUAAUAUAUCACAGACAACAUGGGUUAAAAGCAAAAUAAGUUUCAAACACUAACCUCAGUUUACUCAUAAAUAUUUCACUUCUACAAACCUUGUUUAUUCAAGCUAUGGUUCUAUACAAAUUGGCAAGUCAUUCUUUAUUUUACUUUUCUGUGGUUCUAGACCCUUCUAGACUAAAGAUCUCUGACUUUACUGCUGCCUUUUCUAGAUGUUUUCCUGAGUACACAUGUGAGCUUAUUGUUAACAUCAGUCUCUUUCCCUUUAAGAACUGGUUUUUUUCUGAUGGCUGUGGUCUAAGAGAGCUCACUCUGGAUUUCUCUCUGUUAGUUUUCUAACAUAACCCACAGUGAUAAAUCUAUUUUAUGUUGGGAAUAAGGGAAUAUUUAUACGUAAAGUCAAACAAAAUUGAAGUUUACUUAUGCUUUUUUGCACUUUGAUAUUUUCUAUAUAUUCUGCCAUGUUCCCUAAUAUUCUCUGUUAUUCUAUUUUAUUUUUAAGAAAAUGAUUGGUCUCUACCCUCACAAUGAUUCUGCAAUCCACUGUGGGAACAUGACGCACAGCCUCGAGCCACUGUGGGAGCUUCCUCAUCAGAAGGGAGGGGUACCAGGGGGUGUGGUGAUGUGGCCCUAGGUGCGGGAAUUUCCAAAAGGGAAGCUCUGGUAGCAGCCUCUCAUCUAUAGUAUCAUAUUUUCAGUGUCAUCGUAACGCAGAGAAGUAGAAGAUUCAAGACUUUGGAAAACAGCCAUUUUCUCUCAAUUACAAGAAUAAUAACAGUAUUUGAAAGAUCCUAAAAGUGGUGAAGAUGGAGUAAGUGUUUGGUAGGGAAUCCCUGCCCUGGCUGAUCAUUAUGUCUGCCUUGGCUGUACAUGUGAUCUUGGUGGCAUUUCUGGACUAUCACCCAGAGAGGUGGGUUAAGACUGGUUAAGACCGCAGAGUCAGACCGCUUGGAGUUGAAUCCUGACACCACCGCAUUCUAGCUGUGUGACUUUAGAAAGUCCCUUAGCCUCUAUGAAAUUUAGUUUGCUCAAUCAGAAAAAGAGAAUAAUGACACUGUUCAUCUUACAGAAUUGUUGCAAGGAUUAAAUAAACUAUCAGAU